UUUUUUUAGGUGGUGGCCCUCCAGACCGGACUCGCUGAGUCGAAUCGCCGCCUAGUUUCAGAGCUGAAAACUCUUACUGAAGAAAAGAAGAAGGAGGCUCAUCACCACAAGAAGAAAAUAUCCUCCUUGAGGAAAUCUCUGGAGAUGUCGGACGCUCGAGCUCGUGAGCAAGAGACAGAGAUUGACAAUCUACGCUCUGUUUUGGCUCGUGCUCCUGAAGAGGCGGUUGAGAGGUAUAAGGCCUCAGAUGAGUACGCUGGAGAUCUUAAGGCGGCUGUGGAUCAGUAUAAGACAUCGUCCGAUUAUGCUAAGGCUUUGAACUCAUACGGGGGGAAGGCGAUGUCAGCAUCAAUUAAGCUCUCCAAGGAGUGGAUUAUGGCCGAACAUCCUUCUAUAGACCCCUCUGGCUUGGAUAGAUUUCUCGCACAGCGCAAGGGGAAGGAGAGCGUAGCUCAGUCAUCCAGAUCACUCGGUCGUUCAUCACAAGGUGGUAGUGGGGAUGUCUCCCCUUCGAGCUGAAGCAUUUCUUAGUUGCUGUUUUCCUUGCUAGUUUUUUCCUUUUUAGCGUUUACUUUUGCUUAGCCUUGUUAUCCCCUACUUGCUCGGGAUGUGGGCAAGAAUUCUUCGAAUGUAUAAACACAUCUUUCAUUUGAUAUUAUUGGCGCUGGAUGCGUGGUUCCUUUAAAAUGUCG
This 692-nucleotide long non-coding RNA is filed under the name Olea europaea subsp. europaea. The record is from RNAcentral. Lineage: Eukaryota; Viridiplantae; Streptophyta; Magnoliopsida; Lamiales; Oleaceae.